Molecule: ribosomal RNA, 253 nt
Filed under: uncultured bacterium
Lineage: Bacteria
Description: partial 16S ribosomal RNA
Rfam family: Bacterial small subunit ribosomal RNA
Source: RNAcentral
GACGAACCGUGCAAACGUUGUUCGGAUUCACUGGGCUUAAAGGGCGCGUAGGCGGGCGGUCAAGUCAGGGGUGAAAUCCUCCAGCUUAACUGGAGAAGUGCCUUUGAUACUGAUCGUCUUGAGGGAGGUAGGGGCAUGUGGAACUCAGGGUGGAGCGGUGAAAUGCGUAGAUAUCCUGAGGAACGCCGGUGGCGAAAGCGACGUGCUGGACCUCUUCUGACGCUGAGGCGCGAAAGCCAGGGGAGCAAACGGG